GUAGGAUCGCUUAUAGUAAUUUUUGGAGAGGGAUUAGUGGACAGAUCAUCGGCUGCUAGACGUUUUCGAGAACUCUGAGGAUCACCAGGGUCCGGUGGAUCCGGAGGUCUGUCUAGGUCCAUUAUAAUUAAAAGAAAGAGAAGAAGAAAAAAAAAAAAUUUAUUAAAAUACAAAAAAAAAGCACUUACCAGGACUUACAAAUGUUACUAGAAACUAAUACAACUAAUUACCCACUAUUUUAACUAAAAAAAUUACAAUAAAUCCUAAUAAAAAUAAAUUAAGCGACAACAAUCUCUCUAAUACGUGUGUCAACCAUCAAUUCGCGCCAAAAA
RNAcentral lists this unclassified non-coding RNA (332 nucleotides) under Melitaea cinxia (Glanville fritillary). RNAcentral's name for it is "misc RNA ENSMCXG00005018338.1". The record is from RNAcentral. Lineage: Eukaryota; Metazoa; Arthropoda; Insecta; Lepidoptera; Nymphalidae.